This 486-nucleotide ribosomal RNA is filed under the name uncultured bacterium. Its description in RNAcentral is "partial 16S ribosomal RNA". It matches the Rfam family "Bacterial small subunit ribosomal RNA", at positions 29 to 507 of the family's 1533-position model. The record is from RNAcentral.
AUUGAACGCUGGCGGCAUGCCUUACACAUGCAAGUCGAACGGCAGCACGGGUGCUUGCACCUGGUGGCGAGUGGCGAACGGGUGAGUAAUACAUCGGAACAUGUCCUGUAGUGGGGGAUAGCCCGGCGAAAGCCGGAUUAAUACCGCAUACGAUCCACGGAUGAAAGCGGGGGACCUUCGUGCCUCGCGCUAUAGGGUUGGCCGAUGGCUGAUUAGCUAGUUGGUGGGGUAAAGGCCUACCAAGGCGACGAUCAGUAGCUGGUCUGAGAGGACGACCAGCCACACUGGGACUGAGACACGGCCCAGACACCUACGGGAGGCAGCAGUGGGGAAGGGUGGACAAUGGGCGGAAUCCUGAUCCAGCAAUGCCGCGUGUGUGAAGAAGGCCUUCGGGUUGUAAAGCACUUUUGGCCGGAAAGAAAGCCUUGGCUCUAAUACAGUCGGGGGAUGACGGUACCGGAAGAAGAAGCACCGGCUAACUACGUG